GAAAUGCGAUAAGUAAUGUGAAUUGCAGAAUUCAGUGAAUCAUCGAAUCUUUGAACGCACCUUGCGCUCCUUGGUAUUCCUUGGAGCAUGCCUGUUUGAGUAUCAUGAAAUCUUCAAAGUAAAUCUUUUGUUAACUCAAUUGGUUUCUACUUUGGUAUUGGAGGUCUUUGCAGCUUCACACCUGCUCCUCUUUGUUCAUUAGCUGGAUCUCAGUGUUAUGCUUGGUUCCACUCGGCGUGAUAAGUUAUCUAUCGCUGAGGACACUGUAAAAGGUGGCCAAGGUAAAUGCAGAUGAACCGCUUCUAAUAGUCCAUUGACUUGGACAAUACUCUUAUGAUCUGAUCUCAAAUCAGGUAGGACCACCCGCUGAACUUAAGC
Molecule: unclassified non-coding RNA, 378 nt
Filed under: plant metagenome
Description: partial contains 5.8S ribosomal RNA, internal transcribed spacer 2, and large subunit ribosomal RNA
Rfam family: 5.8S ribosomal RNA (bases 1-105)
Source: RNAcentral